GUUUAUGGUCAACAGCCACGUCAUCGUAUUCAACAAGCCAAGUCAGCAUUUUGUGGGACCCAAUGAAGUUAGACUGGAUUGGAGACUCAACAAUCUUUGUUGAUAAAAUUGCAAAAUAUAUAACAUAUGAAUAUGAAAGUGAUAAUAGCAUAAGUAAUGGGUACUGUUUUCUACUUUUUUAAUUUUGUAGGGGCCUAUAUGACAAUCUGGAGAAGCAAAGUGGACCCAGAUGCAAUUAAUGAUAGUAGUAGUAAUAUCUACUAGAUUAGUUCAAAUUUGGAAAAUUAAGAAAAAUGACAUAUAUAGAGAAUGUAAUUUUCCCCAUUUUGAUGAGGAAAUCUGAAAUUGCUCUUCUUUAUAUGGUGAUAUAUAUGAUAAUCUAUUGUCAUUUGUACAUAAUGUUUUUGAUAUAUAAGUUUAAUUAAUAUUUCUAAAUUGCUCUACUAAUUGGUAUUAUAUUAUGUGAGAAUAAAUAUUUCAUAUAAACCUGACAAGUAAAUAUAAUCAAACACAUUAUUAAACAUUUUGAUUCGAG
This 535-nucleotide long non-coding RNA is filed under the name Solanum tuberosum (potato). Its description in RNAcentral is "long non-coding RNA (STUB_LNC011193)". Lineage: Eukaryota; Viridiplantae; Streptophyta; Magnoliopsida; Solanales; Solanaceae. The record is from RNAcentral.